Molecule: unclassified non-coding RNA, 670 nt
Filed under: Hevea brasiliensis (rubber tree)
Lineage: Eukaryota; Viridiplantae; Streptophyta; Magnoliopsida; Malpighiales; Euphorbiaceae
Source: RNAcentral
AUACUUGUUGAUAACUAAGGCACAUAUCAAGGCAUUAGUAAAAGCAUAUACAAUAGAACAAACAAUACACAGGUACCAAAUCCUUACAUUUUGCCCAUACAUGCACACCUAUAUGCCUAUAUUAACAUUGCUUUUCUGCUUAAAAGAGAAGACAACAGUCUUUCGUCUUGUAAGUUAACAAACAAGAGAUCUUUAGAAAAAUAUAAAUAGAACUAAAAAUAUAAGUAGAACUUUAUUAACUCUGCAAGGCUUUAGAAAGGAAACAUGGUAGCUAGCCAUCUGACUUCUUUAGUAAGUUGUUCUCCUGAAACUUAAGAAAGAUAAUUAAAAGAUUAGUCAAUAUGGGCAACAAAAGGAGGAGAAAUACAAAUUGAGCAAAUAUAUAAAUAUAUUAAUAAGAUUCAUAAACUAAUAUAAAAUUAUUUCAAUAUAAUGAUUUGAUAGAUAACUCGAAUAAAAUAACUUGAACUCCAAAAAAUAUGAAGCCACCAAACUUUUUUGAUACUUCCAAAUACACUAGCUAAAUAAGGAAAGAGUUAUCAACAAAAAUAUAAAUUAAUUUAUUAGUUACUUUAAAAGACAAAUACUUUAGAAAAUUUCACUUUACUUGCCUUUCUUUAUUCAUAGAUCCGAACUCCAAGAAAAAUACUUCUAAUCAAAUGCAGUUCUU